Molecule: transfer RNA, 62 nt
Filed under: Dipodomys ordii (Ord's kangaroo rat)
Lineage: Eukaryota; Metazoa; Chordata; Mammalia; Rodentia; Heteromyidae
Rfam family: tRNA
About the family: Transfer RNA (tRNA) molecules are approximately 80 nucleotides in length. Their secondary structure includes four short double-helical elements and three loops (D, anti-codon, and T loops).
Source: Rfam by way of RNAcentral
UAUAGCUCAGGUGGUAGAGCAUCUGCCUAGCAAGUGCAAGGACCUGGGUUCGAUGCCCAGUA